RNAcentral lists this ribosomal RNA (247 nucleotides) under Candidatus Bathyarchaeota archaeon. Its description in RNAcentral is "partial 16S ribosomal RNA". It matches the Rfam family "Archaeal small subunit ribosomal RNA", at positions 1230 to 1478 of the family's 1478-position model. Lineage: Archaea; Thermoproteati; Candidatus Bathyarchaeota. The record is from RNAcentral.
CCUUAAACCCUGCCUCAGUUGGGAUCGAGGGCUGUAACUCGCCCUCGUGAACAUGGAAUCCCUAGUAAUCGCGCGUCAUCAACGCGCGGUGAAUACGUCCCCGCUCCUUGCACACACCGCCCGUCGCUCCACCCAAGUGAGGCCUAGAUGAGGCGUAGUCUUUUGGCUGCGUCGAAUCUAGGUUUCGCGAGGGGGGAGAAGUCGUAACAAGGUGGCCGUAGGGGAACCUGCGGCCGGAUCACCUCCU